This 1009-nucleotide ribosomal RNA is filed under the name Lactiplantibacillus paraplantarum. RNAcentral describes it as "bacterial SSU rRNA". It matches the Rfam family "Bacterial small subunit ribosomal RNA", at positions 56 to 1029 of the family's 1533-position model. Lineage: Bacteria; Bacillati; Bacillota; Bacilli; Lactobacillales; Lactobacillaceae. The record is from RNAcentral.
UGCAAGUCGAACGAACUCUGGUAUUGAUUGGUGCUUGCAUCAUGAUUUACAUUUGAGUGAGUGGCGAACUGGUGAGUAACACGUGGGAAACCUGCCCAGAAGCGGGGGAUAACACCUGGAAACAGAUGCUAAUACCGCAUAACAACUUGGACCGCAUGGUCCGAGUUUGAAAGAUGGCUUCGGCUAUCACUUUUGGAUGGUCCCGCGGCGUAUUAGCUAGAUGGUGAGGUAACGGCUCACCAUGGCAAUGAUACGUAGCCGACCUGAGAGGGUAAUCGGCCACAUUGGGACUGAGACACGGCCCAAACUCCUACGGGAGGCAGCAGUAGGGAAUCUUCCACAAUGGACGAAAGUCUGAUGGAGCAACGCCGCGUGAGUGAAGAAGGGUUUCGGCUCGUAAAACUCUGUUGUUAAAGAAGAACAUAUCUGAGAGUAACUGUUCAGGUAUUGACGGUAUUUAACCAGAAAGCCACGGCUAACUACGUGCCAGCAGCCGCGGUAAUACGUAGGUGGCAAGCGUUGUCCGGAUUUAUUGGGCGUAAAGCGAGCGCAGGCGGUUUUUUAAGUCUGAUGUGAAAGCCUUCGGCUCAACCGAAGAAGUGCAUCGGAAACUGGGAAACUUGAGUGCAGAAGAGGACAGUGGAACUCCAUGUGUAGCGGUGAAAUGCGUAGAUAUAUGGAAGAACACCAGUGGCGAAGGCGGCUGUCUGGUCUGUAACUGACGCUGAGGCUCGAAAGUAUGGGUAGCAAACAGGAUUAGAUACCCUGGUAGUCCAUACCGUAAACGAUGAAUGCUAAGUGUUGGAGGGUUUCCGCCCUUCAGUGCUGCAGCUAACGCAUUAAGCAUUCCGCCUGGGGAGUACGGCCGCAAGGCUGAAACUCAAAGGAAUUGACGGGGGCCCGCACAAGCGGUGGAGCAUGUGGUUUAAUUCGAAGCUACGCGAAGAACCUUACCAGGUCUUGACAUACUAUGCAAAUCUAAGAGAUUAGACGUUCCCUUCGGGGACAU